UAGGGAAUAUUGGGCAAUGGGCGAGAGCCUGACCCAGCCAUGCCGCGUGCAGGAAGAAGGCUUUCUGAGUCGUAAACUGCUUUUGACAGGGAAGAAUAAGCGCUACGUGUAGCGUGAUGACGGUACCUGCAGAAUAAGCACCGGCUAACUCCGUGCCAGCAGCCGCGGUAAUACGGAGGGUGCGAGCGUUGUCCGGAUUUAUUGGGUUUAAAGGGUGCGUAGGCGGCCCGUUAAGUCCGGGGUGAAAGCCCGUUGCUCAACAACGGAACUGCCCUGGAUACUGACGGGCUUGAGUACAGACGAGGUUGGCGGAAUGGACCGAGUAGCGGUGAAAUGCAUAGAUACGGUCCAGAACCCCGAUUGCGAAGGCAGCUGACUAGGCUGUUACUGACGCUGAGGCACGACAGCGUGGGGAGCGAACAGG
Molecule: ribosomal RNA, 424 nt
Filed under: Bacillota bacterium
Lineage: Bacteria; Bacillati; Bacillota
Description: Firmicutes bacterium partial 16S ribosomal RNA
Rfam family: Bacterial small subunit ribosomal RNA
Source: RNAcentral